This 391-nucleotide ribosomal RNA is filed under the name uncultured bacterium. Its description in RNAcentral is "partial 16S ribosomal RNA". It matches the Rfam family "Bacterial small subunit ribosomal RNA", at positions 354 to 755 of the family's 1533-position model. The record is from RNAcentral.
UGGGGGAAUAUUGCACAAUGGGCGAAAGCCUGAUGCAGCGACGCCGCGUGAGGGAUGACGGCCUUCGGGUUGUAAACCUCUUUCAGCAGGGAAGAAGCGAAAGUGACGGUACCUGCAGAAGAAGCGCCGGCUAACUACGUGCCAGCAGCCGCGGUAAUACGUAGGGCGCAAGCGUUGUCCGGAAUUAUUGGGCGUAAAGAGCUCGUAGGCGGUUAGUCGCGUCUGCUGUGAAAAACUCGAGGCUCAACCUCGGGCUUGCAGUGGGUACGGGCUGACUAGAGUGCGGUAGGGGGUGACUGGAAUUCCUGGUGUAGCGGUGGAAUGCGCAGAUAUCAGGAGGAACACCGAUGGCGAAGGCAGGUCACUGGGCCGCAACUGACGCUGAGGAGCG